UGUAUAUGCUACUACGAGCAAGAAAAUAACUGGUGGGUGAGUAAGCUUAUCAGGAAAAGACAUGAUUCAUCCGUAACAAGUAUUGCCUGGCAUCCAAAUAAUGUUCUUCUAGCAACAACGUCCACUGAUGGUAAAUGUAGAGUAUUUUCAACAUUCAUUAAAGGCGUCGAUUCAAAAGACUCUGCCAUGGGGAGUUCUGCAGAUACCAAAUUUGGAGAGCAAAUUGUUCAGCUUGAUCUAUGCUUUUGCUGGGCUUUUGGUGUCAGAUGGUCCCCAAGUGGCAACACCUUAGCAUAUGUAGGUCAUAACUCCAUGAUAUACUUUGUUGAUGAAGUUGGUCCCUCUGCUGCAGCACAAAGUGUAGCAAUCCGUGAUUUGCCUCUUCGUGAUGUAUUGUUUCUUUCUGAAAGGA
This 412-nucleotide unclassified non-coding RNA is filed under the name Hevea brasiliensis (rubber tree). The record is from RNAcentral. Lineage: Eukaryota; Viridiplantae; Streptophyta; Magnoliopsida; Malpighiales; Euphorbiaceae.